UACCAUGAGCCCUACCCACCUGACAUGUGAGGACCAAUAGGAAGGAGUUCCCAGCCAGUCGUUCAAGGCUUAUAGUGUUGCUGCUGCAUGGAGUAUCCUACAAGGCUUGUAGCAUAGCCCCCUUUGCAUAACGGUAACAAUUGUACUGUUUGCUUGUGGGUUUGAUGAUGGGAUCUCCUCAGAGCCCUAAUUUGGCAGCAAAUCAGCCAGAUUCGACACCUAAGCCAAGAAAACGCUCUAUUAGCACCAGUGCAGAUGAUGAAGGACCUCCUGUGAAAACCUAUGCUGAAGAACAAGCUGAGACAAGGGAAAUAUGGCAAGAGAUCCUGGCAACCAUGGCAGCUGAGCCACAGAAUUCAGCACUUGUGCAAACUUGGAAACGCUCUCGCAUAGCAAUGCAGAAAUUCUUGGGCCUGGAUAUCAAUGAAGAGCCCUAUAGUACCUGGGCGGAGCCUAAGUGAGGGCAAAGUGAAGCCAUAGCCUAGUAAGGGCAAGGAACGAUGGGCAAGGGAAAGCCAGAGCCUAGUAAGGGCAAGUUGAAGCCCUGCCCUUCGAAGGGCAUGAUGACAUCACAGCAGGAAGGAGCCGAAAGCUUCUAACUAAGGGCAGGUUGAAGCCACCGCCUCCUAAGGGUAUAGUGAGACCCUGUGGAGAGCGUCCACACAACAUGGCCAGGCAGACCCCCAUGUCCAGGCAUGUCCAGACAUGCCCAGAGCAGAUGCACAACAAACACCCAUGUUUGGACAUCAGCCCCCCACCCCCCCCCGAACAGGUCUGUGUAUGUUCAGACAUGCACAGAGCAAGGGUUAGGCCAGGCCUGCACAACAUAAGGCCCGGGGACCAGAUCAGGCCCUCAGGGACUUUUUUGUGGGUCCACUGAUUGUCACAACUUGCAGCAACAGCACCCCAAGGCCACUCUUUGGGUUAGUUCCCUCCUCUUCUUCAUCUUUUCAUCCUCUGCCCUCUCUGAAACUGCCUGACAGCACCAUCCUGUGCAUGUUUACUUGGAAAUAUUUACUUAGUUGACUCCUAAGUAAGCACGACUAGGAUUGCAACAUGAAAUCGACAGCAAUUUAGAAAGAGGAGAGGAUUUUGCAUUUGUUUGGGGCUGGCAUUUUUUAAGGGAGAUCUCACUAGAUGCCCCAGUGACUGAGCAAGGACAGGCUCUAUUUUCUGGCCAUGAUUCUUAGUUAAAAUUGUGGGUCCCUUGCCAAAGGGGGGAAAGAUCCACAACUAUCUAAUAAUUGCUUGCAUUAAUAUUUUUAAGAAUUAAUUUUAAUUCAAUAAUGUGCUGAAAAUUGACCUUGACCACUGAACACCAUUGUGGUUGGUUCCAGCCCAUCAAAACAUUUGAAUGGUGUACCCCCCGGGUUAGCCCCAGAGCAGGGUUGUUAUUUUUGUAGAGAGAAAAUAAAAUGCUCUUCAGAUUAACUCAAUAGGGUAUAUUCUAGAUUUUAAGAACUCAUACACAUUAACUUUGUACUAUGGAUUCUGCAGUUGAAAGUUUUCCCACUUUAAAAAGAAAAGUUGCCCUGCAAUUAAUGCUGGAUCAUCUUUUCUUUGUCUCUGUGAUGAGGCUAGCCUGGAGUUUUAUCCUGAGAGGCCCCUGAAACAUCAGCCCUAUCCAUCCUCAGCACUGUACCUCCAGUGACUGUUGCUGGUGUAUAUCUUAUGUUUCUUUUUAGAUUGUGAUCCCUUUGGGGACAGGGAUCCAUCUCAUUUAUUUAUUAUUUCUCUGUGUAAACCUCCCUGUGCCAUUUUUGGAAGGGUGGUAUAGAAAUUGAAUAAAUAAAUAACUAAAAAUGCUUUUUGUGUGUGAUGUAUAAGUAGGACAAUUUCAUACAUUCUGAUAAGUACAGCUUCUUAAAAACAUUAAAAUCAUGAUCUCUUUCGUUAUGCAGUGACAAUGCCUUGCUGUCUAAGAAACAAGGCUU
Hemicordylus capensis (graceful crag lizard) is the source of this 1934-nucleotide long non-coding RNA. RefSeq lists it as uncharacterized. The record is from RefSeq and is a predicted model, not a curated record. NCBI's taxonomy places the organism in Eukaryota, Metazoa, Chordata, Lepidosauria, Squamata, Cordylidae. The transcript is spliced from 2 exons.